Molecule: ribosomal RNA, 523 nt
Filed under: Vibrio sp.
Lineage: Bacteria; Pseudomonadati; Pseudomonadota; Gammaproteobacteria; Vibrionales; Vibrionaceae
Description: bacterial SSU rRNA
Rfam family: Bacterial small subunit ribosomal RNA
Source: RNAcentral
CAGUCGAGCGGAACGACACUAACAAUCCUUCGGGUGCGUUAAUGGGCGUCGAGCGGCGGACGGGUGAGUAAUGCCUAGGAAAUUGCCUUGAUGUGGGGGAUAACCAUUGGAAACGAUGGCUAAUACCGCAUAAUGCCUACGGGCCAAAGAGGGGGACCUUCGGGCCUCUCGCGUCAAGAUAUGCCUAGGUGGGAUUAGCUAGUUGGUGAGGUAAUGGCUCACCAAGGCGACGAUCCCUAGCUGGUCUGAGAGGAUGAUCAGCCACACUGGAACUGAGACACGGUCCAGACUCCUACGGGAGGCAGCAGUGGGGAAUAUUGCACAAUGGGCGAAAGCCUGAUGCAGCCAUGCCGCGUGUAUGAAGAAGGCCUUCGGGUUGUAAAGUACUUUCAGUUGUGAGGAAGGGGGUAGUGUUAAUAGCGCUAUCUCUUGACGUUAGCAACAGAAGAAGCACCGGCUAACUCCGUGCCAGCAGCCGCGGUAAUACGGAGGGUGCGAGCGUUAAUCGGAAUUACUGGGCGUA